This 761-nucleotide long non-coding RNA is filed under the name Monodelphis domestica (gray short-tailed opossum). RNAcentral's name for it is "lncRNA (ENSMODG00000033956.2)". The record is from RNAcentral. Lineage: Eukaryota; Metazoa; Chordata; Mammalia; Didelphimorphia; Didelphidae.
CCCAAAGGGAGGGAGUCCUUAGCAUGCUGGUGGGGCUGGGGCAGCCCAGUUGAAAAGCGCACAUGCUCCAUAUUUAGGUGGAUGGGUGUAUAGAUGUCGGUGGUCCAGGUACCACUACCCCCACAUCUUCUCCCUUGUAGGAUUGGAAUUGGUGACCUGGUUUGUGUUCUGAGGAUGACAGGUCAGGUAAGCUCGGGUAGAGAAAUCUUGAAUCAGACAAGAGAGAAUCCAGUCUUUUUCUUACCUGCUUGGCUGGCUUUGGAGCCUCUAGCUCAGGAUUUUUUCAUCAAGAGCCUUUGUAACCUCUCCCACUGCAGAUUACCUCAUGCUGUUGGAAAUCCAGGCCCCUGCUCUCACUCUAAAGGGGUGUCUUAUCUCUCACAAAGGACUGGAGACUCCUGCACAAGAGGGGCCUCAACUGCUUUUGUUUCACAACGUCCCCAUCCUUCCACAAAGACUCAAUGAUGGACUGACUAAAAAGCAUUCGGACCCAGGACACUUCUAUCUCUCCAGUACCCUCCUCCCAGAAGAGAGGAAGUACACAAGGAGACCUUGUCUUCUGUUGGAGAGAAGGGCCUUUCCCAAUGUCAUUUCUUCCUUGGGCAGAAGGCCUUCAAGUGGUCUAAACCAUAUCUUCAUUUGGAAAAUGGGAUUUAUAAUAAUAAUGAUCAUUAAUAAUAAUACCUGCCCUGCCCACCUGACAAGGAUAUUGAGAUGUUCGUAGCAGCACUUUGGAAAAUAAAAAGCAUUGUAUAUGUUCA